This 504-nucleotide ribosomal RNA is filed under the name uncultured bacterium. RNAcentral describes it as "bacterial SSU rRNA". It matches the Rfam family "Bacterial small subunit ribosomal RNA", at positions 791 to 1300 of the family's 1533-position model. The record is from RNAcentral.
UAGUCCACGCUGUAAACGAUGAUCACUCGUUGUUGGCGAUACACAGUCAGUGACUAAGCGAAAGCAUUAAGUGAUCCACCUGGGGAGUACGGUCGCAAGAUUGAAACUCAAAGGAAUUGACGGGGGCCCGCACAAGCGGAGGAACAUGUGGUUUAAUUCGACGAUACGCGAGGAACCUUACCUGGGCUUAAAUGCAGAACGACAGAUUGGGAAACUGGAUCUUUCUUCGGACGGACUGCAAGGUGCUGCAUGGUUGUCGUCAGCUCGUGCCGUGAGGUGUCGGGUUAAGUCCCAUAACGAGCGCAACCCUUAUCGUUAGUUACCAGCGAGUAAUGUCGGGAACUCUAACGAAACUGCCGGUGUAAACCGUGAGGAAGGUGGGGAUGACGUCAAAUCAGCACGGCCCUUAUGUCCAGGGCUACACACGUGUUACAAUGGCCAGUACAAAGGGCAGCUAUCUGGUGACAGAAUGCUAAUCUCGAAAACUGGUCUCAGUUCGGAUCG